CUAGUACGGGAGGGCAGCAGUGAGGAAUAUUGGUCAAUGGAUGGAAAUCUGAACCAGCCAAGUAGCGUGCAGGAUGACGGCCCUAUGGGUUGUAAACUGCUUUUAUGUGAGAAUAAAGUUAGGUAUGUAUACUUAUUUGCAUGUAUCACAUGAAUAAGGACCGGCUAAUUCCGUGCCAGCAGCCGCGGUAAUCUAG
Molecule: ribosomal RNA, 196 nt
Filed under: uncultured bacterium
Lineage: Bacteria
Description: partial 16S ribosomal RNA
Rfam family: Bacterial small subunit ribosomal RNA
Source: RNAcentral